Molecule: ribosomal RNA, 490 nt
Filed under: uncultured bacterium
Lineage: Bacteria
Description: bacterial SSU rRNA
Rfam family: Bacterial small subunit ribosomal RNA
Source: RNAcentral
AGAGUUUGAUCAUGGCUCAGGAUGAACGCUGGCGGCGUGCUUAACACAUGCAAGUCGAACGAUGAAAGCGGGAGCUUGCUCCUGCUGGAUUAGUGGCGAACGGGUGAGUAACACGUGAGUAACCUGCCCUUGACUCUGGGAUAAGCGUUGGAAACGACGUCUAAUACCGGAUACGACCUUCGGAGGCAUCUCCUGGGGGUGGAAAGAAUUUCGGUCAAGGAUGGACUCGCGGCCUAUCAGCUAGUUGGUGAGGUAAUGGCUCACCAAGGCGACGACGGGUAGCCGGCCUGAGAGGGUGACCGGCCACACUGGGACUGAGACACGGCCCAGACUCCUACGGGAGGCAGCAGUGGGGAAUAUUGCACAAUGGGCGCAAGCCUGACGCAGCAACGCCGCGUGAGGGACGACGGCCUUCGGGUUGUAAACCUCUUUUAGUAGGGAAGAAGCGAAAGUGACGGUACCUGCAGAAAAAGCACCGGCUAACUACGUG